CCAGACAACGGAGGCAUUUCUACAGCAAAGAAUAAUGAGCACAUCAAGAAGGUAAUUUCUGCCCCAGUCCAGGUGGCCUUCGAUGCGGGGGACAGACAGCAGGAGCCAUGUUGGUAUUAACUUCAUAAGAGUAGGUGUUCUUCUAAAAUCUGAAAUAUCAUUCACUCCAGAAAUUCAACACCAGUGAUGUCACAACAUGGAAUGCAAAUCUGAGUUCGUGGACAUCAGCCCCCAAGACCAUGGCCCUAUCAAUACAGGUCAUGUCAGGGAGACUUUGGCUGAAGAAAAUCACAACAGAUGAGAGAUAAUGCAAGAGAAAAAUAAAACCAUUCCAUGAGGAUAUCAUUCUGGAACUUCCUAUUACCAGGGAGUGAGAUCAGGAUGCUUGGGGCAAGGUACAUUUGGGUAAAGCUUUGGAUUCUUAGAACUUCCACUGAGCACUGUGGGACAAAAGACUAGCAGGGGUUUCUAAUUAGAAGAGUUUUGCAGCAUGUGCUAAAGCUUACUUUCUUUAGAGUGUAUGGCGUUAUGCCCACAGAUAGAUGUCCCAGUUUUAAGUUGUGGGUGAUUUUUAUGCAAGUCUGUUUUAUAGAAUUAGUCUUCUAAGGUGUUUACACGGGCCAGGUAAAAUCUCGAUCGUCAAGAGAAGAUAGGUAUACAUGUACACACUGCAAAAUAAUUUGUCUCAAAGGUUGCUAACCCACAAAAUUC
Molecule: long non-coding RNA, 711 nt
Organism: Piliocolobus tephrosceles (Ugandan red Colobus)
Lineage: Eukaryota; Metazoa; Chordata; Mammalia; Primates; Cercopithecidae
Exons: 3
Source: RefSeq, a predicted model, not a curated record